Unclassified non-coding RNA from Callithrix jacchus (white-tufted-ear marmoset), 116 nucleotides. It matches the Rfam family "Metazoan signal recognition particle RNA". From Rfam's summary of the family: The signal recognition particle (SRP) is a universally conserved ribonucleoprotein. It is involved in the co-translational targeting of proteins to membranes. The record is from Ensembl. Lineage: Eukaryota; Metazoa; Chordata; Mammalia; Primates; Cebidae.
GCCGGGUGUGGUGGCUCACACCUGUAAUCCCAGCACUUUGGGAGGCUGAGGUGGGUGGAUCACCUGAGGUUGGGAGUUUAGACCAGCCUAGCCAACAUGGUGAAACCCCAUCUCUA